AUUGAACGCUGGCGGCAGGCUUAACACAUGCAAGUCGAACGAGUGGCGGACGGGUGAGUAAUGUAUGGGAAACUGCCUGAUGGCGGGGGAUAACUACUGGAAACGGUAGCUAAUACCGCAUACCAUCGGAUGUGCCCAGAUGGGAUUAGCUAGUAGGUGGGGUAACGGCUCACCUAGGCGACGAUCCCUAGCUGGUUUGAGAGGAUGACCAGCCAAACUGGAACUGAGACACGGUCCAGACUCCUACGGGAGGCAGCAGUGGGGAAUAUUGUACAAUGGGCGCAAGCCUGAUGCAGCCAUGCCGCGUGUAUGAUGAAGGCCUUCGGGUUGUAAAGUACUUUUAGCAGGGAGGCGUUACCUGCAGAAGAAGCACCGGCUAACUCCGUGCCAGCAGCCGCGGUAAUAC
Molecule: ribosomal RNA, 406 nt
Filed under: uncultured bacterium
Lineage: Bacteria
Description: partial 16S ribosomal RNA
Rfam family: Bacterial small subunit ribosomal RNA
Source: RNAcentral